AGAGUUUGAUCCUGGCUCAGAACGAACGCUGGCGGCAGGCUUAAUACAUGCAAGUCGAACGGCUGUAGCAAUACAGCAGUGGCAGACGGGUGAGUAACACGUGGGAACCUACCUAGGGGUACGGAAUAACUCAGGGAAACUUGUGCUAAUACCGUAUACGACCUCAGGGUGAAAGAUUUAUCGCCCCUAGAUGGGCCCGCGCUGGAUUAGCUAGUUGGUGGGGUAAAAGCCUACCAAGGCGACGAUCCAUAGCUGGUCUGAGAGGAUGGUCAGCCACACUGGGACUGAGACACGGCCCAGACUCCUACGGGAGGCAGCAGUAGGGAAUCUUGGACAAUGGGCGAAAGCCUGAUCCAGCCAUGCCGCGUGAGUGAUGAAGGCCUUAGGGUUGUAAAGCUCUUUCGCCAGGGAAGAUAAUGACGGUACCUGGAUAAGAAGCCCCGGCUAACUUCGUGCCAGCAGCCGCGGUAAUACGAAGGGGGCUAGCGUUGUUCGGAAUUACUGGGCGUAAAGCGCACGUAGGCGGCAUUCCAAGUUGGAGGUGAAAUCCCCGGGCUUAACCUGGGAACUGCCUCCAAAACUGGAAAGCUCGAGUCCGAGAGAGGUGAGUGGAAUCUCCAGUGUAGAGGUGAAAUUCGUAGAUAUUGGAAAGAACACCAGUGGCGAAGGCGGCUCACUGGCUCGGUACUGACGCUGAGGUGCGACAGCGUGGGGAGCAAACAGGAUUAGAUACCC
This 735-nucleotide ribosomal RNA is filed under the name uncultured bacterium. RNAcentral describes it as "bacterial SSU rRNA". It matches the Rfam family "Bacterial small subunit ribosomal RNA", at positions 8 to 787 of the family's 1533-position model. The record is from RNAcentral.